AAGUCGAACGCCUGAAGCCUGGUGCUUGCACCGGGUGGAUGAGUGGCGAACGGGUGAGUAAUACGUGAGUGACCUGCCUUUGACUCUGGGAUAAGCCUGGGAAACUGGGUCUAAUACCGGAUGCGACUACUGCCCGCAUGGGCUGGUGGUGGAAAGGGUUAUGUACUGGUCUUAGAUGGGCUCACGGCCUAUCAGCUGGUUGGUGGGGUAAUGGCCUACCAAGGGCGACGACGGGUAGCCGGCCUGAGAGGGUGACCGGCCACACUGGGACUGAGACACGGCCCAGACUCCUACGGGAGGCAGCAGUGGGGAAUAUUGCACAAUGGGCGCAAGCCUGAUGCAGCGACGCCGCGUGAGGGAUGACGGCCUUCGGGUUGUAAACCUCUUUCAGCAGGGAAGAAGCGGAAGUGACGGUACCUGCAGAAGAAGCGCCGGCUAACUACGUGCCAGCAGCCGCGGUAAUACGUAGGGCGCAAGCGUUGUCCGGAAUUAUUGGGCGUAAAGAGCUCGUAGGCGGCUUGUCGCGUCUGCUGUGAAAGCCCGGGGCUUAACUCCGGGUGUGCAGUGGGUACGGGCAGGCUAGAGUGCAGUAGGGGUAACUGGAAUUCCUGGUGUAGCGGUGAAAUGCGCAGAUAUCAGGAGGAACACCGAUGGCGAAGGCAGGUUACUGGGCUGUUACUGACGCUGAGGAGCGAAGCAUGGGGAGCGAACAG
Molecule: ribosomal RNA, 713 nt
Filed under: Kocuria sp. B122
Lineage: Bacteria; Bacillati; Actinomycetota; Actinomycetes; Micrococcales; Micrococcaceae
Description: bacterial SSU rRNA
Rfam family: Bacterial small subunit ribosomal RNA
Source: RNAcentral